GGAACAUCUGCCCCUCUGGCAAGAUCGGGAAGACGGGGAUGUUCACCCGGACCGCCGCUAGGAGCGACGUGCUCGGCCACGGGACCGGGAACUACGGCCAUGGGAGUGUGAUGCGGGGCGGCGGCGGCGCUGUCGCGCCGCCGCCGCCGGAUCCCGGGAUGAAGCGCGCGAUGGGGAGCUUGGAUCCGGAGGAGGUGAAGCGGGCGGGGAAUGAGAUGUAUAGACGGGGGAUGUUCGCGGAGGCGCUACGGUUGUAUGAUCGGGCGAUUGUCCUGUCG
RNAcentral lists this unclassified non-coding RNA (278 nucleotides) under Hevea brasiliensis (rubber tree). The record is from RNAcentral. Lineage: Eukaryota; Viridiplantae; Streptophyta; Magnoliopsida; Malpighiales; Euphorbiaceae.